CAAUAGCGUAUAUUAAAGUUGUUGCAGUUAAAAGCUCGUAGUUGGAUUUCUGGCUAGGUGAAGCGUUCCCCAAGUUGGGUGCGAUGCGGCGCCUUGCCAUCCUUCUGUUAACCUGGGAAGCCUUAACGGCGGCCCACGGGGCUCAGAUAUUUUACCUUGAGAAAAUUAGAGUGUUUCAGGCAGGCUAGCGCCGGAAUACAUUAGCAUGGAAUAAUAGAAUAGGACUUCUGCCUCUUCUGUUGGUCUGAGGGGUUCAAGUAAUGAUUAAUAGGGAUAGUUGGGGGCAUUAGUACUUAACUGUCAGAGGUGAAAUUCUCGGAUUUGUUAAAGACUAACUUAUGCGAAAGCAUUUGCCAAGGAUGUUUUCAUUAAUCAAGAACGAAAGUUAGGGGAUCAAAGACGAUCAGAUACCGU
This 414-nucleotide ribosomal RNA is filed under the name uncultured eukaryote. RNAcentral's name for it is "SSU rRNA". It matches the Rfam family "Eukaryotic small subunit ribosomal RNA", at positions 592 to 1018 of the family's 1831-position model. The record is from RNAcentral.